ACGGAGAGGGCAAGCGUUGUUCGGAUUUAUUGGGCGUAAAGCGCGCGUAGGCGGUAUGGUAAGUCGGAUGUUAAAGACCCCCUUCUCCCCCGGGCCAAUGCGUCCGAUACUGCCGUACUGGAGUACGGGAGAGGGAAGUGGAAUUCCUGGUGUAGCGGUGAAAUGCGUAGAUAUCAGGAGGAACACCUGUGGCGAAGGCGGCUUCCUGGCCCGUAACUGACGCUGAGGCGCGAAAGCGUGGGGAGCGAACGG
RNAcentral lists this ribosomal RNA (252 nucleotides) under uncultured prokaryote. Its description in RNAcentral is "partial 16S rRNA". It matches the Rfam family "Bacterial small subunit ribosomal RNA", at positions 525 to 775 of the family's 1533-position model. The record is from RNAcentral.